RNAcentral lists this ribosomal RNA (468 nucleotides) under uncultured bacterium. Its description in RNAcentral is "partial 16S ribosomal RNA". It matches the Rfam family "Bacterial small subunit ribosomal RNA", at positions 28 to 507 of the family's 1533-position model. The record is from RNAcentral.
GACGAACGCUGGCGGCGUGCUUAACACAUGCAAGUCGAACGGAAAGGCCCUGCUUUUGUGGGGUGCUCGAGUGGCGAACGGGUGAGUAACACGUGAGUAACCUGCCCUUGACUUUGGGAUAACUUCAGGAAACUGGGGCUAAUACCGGAUAGGAGCUCCUGCUGCAUGGUGGGGGUUGGAAAGUUUCGGCGGUUGGGGAUGGACUCGCGGCUUAUCAGCUUGUUGGUGGGGUAGUGGCUUACCAAGGCUUUGACGGGUAGCCGGCCUGAGAGGGUGAUCGGCCACAUUGGGACUGAGGUACGGCCCAGACUCCUACGGGAGGCAGCAGUGGGGAAUAUUGCACAAUGGGCGGAAGCCUGAUGCAGCAACGCCGCGUGCGGGAUGACGGCCUUCGGGUUGUAAACCGCUUUCGCCUGUGACGAAGCGUGAGUGACGGUAAUGGGUAAAGAAGCACCGGCUAACUACGUG